CUUCCGAUGGCGACCGGCGCACGGGUGAGUAACACGUAUCCAACCUGCCGAUAACUCGGGGGUAGCCUUUCGAAAGAAAGAUUAAUAUCCGAUAGGAUAUCAAGAUCGCAUGAUCUUGAUAUUAAAGAAUUUCGGUUAUCGAUGGGGAUGCGUUCCAUUAGUUAGUUGGCGGGGUAACGGCCCACCAAGACGACGAUGGAUAGGGGUUCUGAGAGGAAGGUCCCCCACAUUGGAACUGAGACACGGUCCAAACUCCUACGGAAGGCAGCAG
RNAcentral lists this ribosomal RNA (271 nucleotides) under uncultured bacterium. RNAcentral describes it as "partial 16S ribosomal RNA". It matches the Rfam family "Bacterial small subunit ribosomal RNA", at positions 82 to 354 of the family's 1533-position model. The record is from RNAcentral.